RNAcentral lists this long non-coding RNA (957 nucleotides) under Elaeis guineensis (African oil palm). RNAcentral describes it as "long non-coding RNA (EGUI_LNC011952)". The record is from RNAcentral. Lineage: Eukaryota; Viridiplantae; Streptophyta; Magnoliopsida; Arecales; Arecaceae.
UGGGUGAAGCGUUUCGGCUUUCCCUCGGUUUUCUACGGAUUUUUGGCUCGGAUGUGGAGGUUUUUGGGUCGGGGUGAAGCCACUGGUCUUGUUCUUUGAGACAAAUCAGGCAUUGGUCUUGUUUUGGGCGUUUUUUGGGUGGUUGAUGAGUUUGGAUUCUGGGGGUGGUGUUUGCUUUCUUCGAUGUGUUUGGCAACCUGGUUUGGAGUUUCUUGUUGGGGUUGGAUCCUUCGGUGAAUAGGAGAACCUAUCUUCGAUGUGUUUGGCAACCUGGUUUGGAGUUUCUUGUUGGGGUUGGAUCCUUCGGUGAAUAGGAGAAGCUAUGUUAAAAAUUUCUGCUUUAGUUUCGAGCAGUCUCUGUUUUGUUUUGGUUUGGCUUCAACUACUAUUUCUGUCAACAUAACAGAAGGACGCUUUUCUAUUCUUAUCACUUUUCUUUUUUCUUUUUUUCCUAUUUAUUUCUUAAUAAAUUCCUGCAUUUCUCUUCAAGUUUUUACCCCACAAUAGUAUUAUAUUUCUGCAAAUUCUUCAGAGAAGAAAAGAAUGCAAUGCUUCGUUGUCAUUAAGUUCUCUAAAUAUCUGCUACUAGCACAUAGAAGUAGAAUGGUUUUAUGGUGUCUUCCAAGGCCAUCCAAAGGUCUUCUGCAUUUAUCUUCUGUCUAAAAGCUAGGCGAGAGGAAACGAAAUCCAGAUUUCAAAAUUAAAUCUUUUCGAUCAUUGUCGCUAUCAUACAAGCCUCGUUUCUCUUUCAUUCUUUUCGAUCGUUUAACUGCGUGUAUUUUAAUAAAAAUCCAAACUUUCCUCAGUUUUCUUGCACAUUUCUUAAAAAACUCGCAGUUACUGGGGAGACUUUUGCAUCCAAUACCCUUCUCGGAGUUUUUUCUUAGCUUUCCGAGGACAGCACGAAUCAAAAUCUAAUCUUUUUCUCUCUAUUUCGACUCUCGAACUCUUCCUCAG